ACUCCUACGGGAGGCAGCAGUGAGGAAUUUUCUGCAAUGGGCGAAAGCCUGACAGAGCAAUACCGCGUGAGGGAUGAAGGCCUCUGGGCUGUAAACCUCUUUUAUCAAGGAAGAAGAUCUGACGGUACUUGAUGAAUAAGCCACGGCUAAUUCCGUGCCAGCAGCCGCGGUAAUACA
RNAcentral lists this ribosomal RNA (177 nucleotides) under uncultured Synechococcus sp. Its description in RNAcentral is "partial 16S ribosomal RNA". It matches the Rfam family "Bacterial small subunit ribosomal RNA", at positions 335 to 527 of the family's 1533-position model. The record is from RNAcentral. Lineage: Bacteria; Bacillati; Cyanobacteriota; Cyanophyceae; Synechococcales; Synechococcaceae.